UACGAACUGUGCAAACGUUAUUCGGAAUCCCUGGGCUUACAGGGUGCGUAGGCGGCCAGACAAGUAGGGUGUGAAAGCCCCCGGCUUAACCGGGGAAUGGCGCCCUAAACUGUAUGGCUGGAGUGAGAUAGGGGUGUGCGGAACUUCCGGUGGAGCGGUGAAAUGUGUUGAUAUCGGAAGGAACGCCGGUGGCGAAAGCGGCACACUGGAUCUCAACUGACGCUGAGGCACGAAAGCCAGGGGAGCGAACGGG
Molecule: ribosomal RNA, 253 nt
Filed under: uncultured bacterium
Lineage: Bacteria
Description: partial 16S ribosomal RNA
Rfam family: Bacterial small subunit ribosomal RNA
Source: RNAcentral